Molecule: ribosomal RNA, 614 nt
Filed under: Escherichia coli
Lineage: Bacteria; Pseudomonadati; Pseudomonadota; Gammaproteobacteria; Enterobacterales; Enterobacteriaceae
Description: partial 23S ribosomal RNA
Rfam family: Bacterial large subunit ribosomal RNA
Source: RNAcentral
GGGUUGUGAGGUUAAGCGACUAAGCGUACACGGUGGAUGCCCUGGCAGUCAGAGGCGAUGAAGGACGUGCUAAUCUGCGAUAAGCGUCGGUAAGGUGAUAUGAACCGUUAUAACCGGCGAUUUCCGAAUGGGGAAACCCAGUGUGUUUCGACACACUAUCAUUAACUGAAUCCAUAGGUUAAUGAGGCGAACCGGGGGAACUGAAACAUCUAAGUACCCCGAGGAAAAGAAAUCAACCGAGAUUCCCCCAGUAGCGGCGAGCGAACGGGGAGSAGCCCAGAGCCUGAAUCAGUGUGUGUGUUAGUGGAAGCGUCUGGAAAGGCGCGCGAUACAGGGUGACAGCCCCGUACACAAAAAUGCACAURCUGUGAGCUCGAUGAGUAGGGCGGGACACGUGGUAUCCUGUCUGAAUAUGGGGGGACCAUCCUCCAAGGCUAAAUACUCCUGACUGACCGAUAGUGAACCAGUACCGUGAGGGAAAGGCGAAAAGAACCCCGGCGAGGGGAGUGAAAAAGAACCUGAAACCGUGUACGUACAAGCAGUGGGAGCACGCUUAGGCGUGUGACUGCGUACCUUUUGUAUAAUGGGUCAGCGACUUAUAUUCUGUAGCAAGG